This 2290-nucleotide ribosomal RNA is filed under the name human metagenome. RNAcentral describes it as "bacterial LSU rRNA". It matches the Rfam family "Bacterial large subunit ribosomal RNA", at positions 1 to 2313 of the family's 2925-position model. The record is from RNAcentral.
GGAAGUAAUUAAGGGCGUACGGUGGAUGCCUAGGCUCUUACAGGCGAUGAAGGACGUGAUAAGCUGCGAUAAGCUGUGGGUAGGUGCAAAUAACCAUUGAUCCGCAGAUUUCCGAAUGGGACAACCCAGCAGGUUGAAGACCUGUUAUCCCGCAAAUGCGGGAGGCUAACGGGGGGAACUGAAACAUCUUAGUACCCCUAGGAAAAGAAAAUAAUAAUGAUUCCCCUAGUAGUGGCGAGCGAACGGGGAAGAGCCCAAACCAUAUAGAUUUCGGUCUAUAUGGGGUUGUAGGACCACGACGUUGCAAGAAGUACGAUUAGAGGAACGCUUUGGAAAGAGCGACCAUAGAGAGUGACAGUCUCGUACUCGACAAUCGUAUGAAGCAUAGUGGUAUCCUGAGUAGGGCGGGACACGUGAAAUCCUGUCUGAAUCCGGCGGGCCCAUCCGCCAAGGCUAAAUACUCGUAAGAGACCGAUAGCGAACCAGUACCGUGAGGGAAAGGUGAAAAGCACCUCUUUUAGAGGAGUGAAAAAGUUCCUGAAACCGUACGCCUACAAGCGGUCGGAGCACCUUAUGGUGUGACGGCGUGCCUUUUGCAUAAUGAACCUACGAGUUACCGUCGUCGGCAAGGUUAAGUGCUAUGAAGCACGUAAGCCGAAGCGAAAGCGAGUCUGAAUAGGGCGCAUAGUCGGCGGUGGUAGACGCGAAACCAAGUGAUCUACCCUUGUCCAGGUUGAAGUCCCGGUAACACGGGAUGGAGGACCGAACCAAUAAGCGUUGAAAAGCUUCUGGAUGAGGUGAGGGUAGGAGUGAAAGGCCAAUCAAACUUGGAGAUAGCUCGUACUCCCCGAAAUGCAUUUAGGUGCAGCCUCGGGCGUUCCCUGUGUGAGGUAGAGCGACUGAUUGGAUGCGAGGGCUUCACCGCCUAUCAAGUCCAGACAAACUCCGAAUGCACACAGGCUAAGCCCGGGAGUGAGGGCGUGGGUGCUAAGGUCCACGCCCGAGAGGAGAAGAAUCCUGACCACCGGCUAAGGCCCCGAAAUAUAGGCUAAGUUAAACUAACGAAGUGUGGUCCCCGUGACAGCUAGGAUGUUGGCUUGGAAGCAGCCAUUCAUUCAAAGAGUGCGUAACAGCUCACUAGUCGAGGGACUGUGCAUGGAUAAUAAUCGGGUAUAAAGUCUAUUGCCGAAGCCGUGGGAUAUCUAUUUGAUAUCGGUAGGGGAGCAUUCAUGCGGCCUUGAAGAUAGAGGAUAACCUCUGUUGGAGCUUCAUGAAAAGCAAAUGUAGGUAUAAGUAACGAUAAAGAGUGUGAGAUGCACUCUCGCCGAAAGACUAAGGUUUCCAGGGCAACGUUAAUCGGCCCUGGGUCAGUCGGGACCUAAGGUUCAACCUAAUGGUGAUGCCGAUGGCAGAAACGGUUAAUAUUCCGUUACUAUCUUUGUUGGCGAUGUGGAGACGGAGGAGUGACACUUCCGCGAGCUGACGGAAUAGCUCGUUAAAGAUUGUAGGUUAUGAGGAUGGCAGGCAAAUCCACCAUCCGAGCUGAAAGUCGAUAGUAUACAGCGUCUUCGGACAAUGUAAUAGUGAAGGUAAUCCUACUCCCGAGAAAAUCCGCUAAGCUUAACAUCAAAGAUACCCGUACCGUAAACGGACACACGUAGUCGGGUAGAAUAUACUAAGGCGCUUGGAAGAUUCAUGGUUAAGGAACUAGGCAAAUUGACCCCGUAACUUCGGAAUAAGGGGUCCUCACAGUAAUGUGAGGCGCAGAGAAUCGGCCCAGGCAACUGUUUAACAAAAACACAGGGCUGUGCAAAAUCGAAAGAUGCAGUAUACAGUCUGACACCUGCCCGGUGCUGGAAGGUUAAGAGGAGAGCUUAGACGUAAGUCGAAGGUUUGAAUUGAAGCCCCAGUAAACGGCGGCCGUAACUAUAACGGUCCUAAGGUAGCGAAAUUCCUUGUCGGGUAAGUUCCGACCUGCACGAAUGGUGUAAUGAUCUGGGCACUGUCUCAACCAUGAUUCCAGUGAAAUUGUAGUAUCGGUGAAGAUGCCGAUUACCCGCGAUGGGACGAAAAGACCCCGUGAACCUUUACUAUAGCUUAACGUUGUAAUUGGGCAGUCGAUGUGUAGGAUAGGUCGGAGGCUUUGAAGCAGGCACGCCAGUGUUUGUGGAGCCGCUGUUGAAAUACGACCCUUUGGCUGUCUGGUUCCUAACUCUCAGAUGAGAGGACCGCGUUUGGUGGGUAGUUUGACUGGGGUGGUCGCCUCCAAAAGCGUAACGGAGGCUUCUAA